Molecule: long non-coding RNA, 3234 nt
Filed under: Venturia canescens
Lineage: Eukaryota; Metazoa; Arthropoda; Insecta; Hymenoptera; Ichneumonidae
Description: uncharacterized LOC122406005
Source: RNAcentral
UGUUCGCUCAAAACGAAUCACCCUAUUACACGUAUAUGUCAUUCGAUUCAGAAUCGAAUGAAACGUGUUUGUAUCCGAUCGGGGGAAAACAUUUCUUAAUUUUUUGGAUUUUAGCUGAUUAGUGAGCUGUGAAUUUUCGAAUUUCCCAGUUUUCCGGCUUUCUUUCAGAAAAAGCUGUUUAUAAACAUGACCAUUUCAUUUAAUUUCGUCUCUCACUGCUGUUGAAAAUGUUUACAGGAAAAUGGAGUCACUGUUCAAAAAACAAAAAUAAUGAGGAACCCAUUAUUUUCUGUCUGGUGGGGCUAAACAAAAAGGAUUGUGCCGUUAUGGAAUCAGUUAUAAGAUUCUCUGGAGAAGAAGUUACCUAUGACUCCAACAAAAACAACAUCCAGUUUACUAACAGAAAGUACUAUGAAGAAAAAAAUUUAGACAAUAUACCAGUCACAUUUUUUUAUGUAAAGUUCAUAAAAUAUCGUUAUGCUGCUGAAACGGUUUUGGAUUUACACGAUUUCAGAUUUGGUCCACGAACUUCAGAGGACGAGUUAACCGUCUUAUGCUUUCUGUACGGGACCGCAGACAUUUUCGAGAGUUUUAAACAACUCCUUUUAGCAGCGGCGAAGGAUGAAGAAUCUGCUACUGCUGCAGAUGAUUCAUCCGGUGCUGCUCUAAGAACGGGAGUAAUUCCUUGUUCCUCUGGAGGAAAAAAAUGUAGCCCUGGCAAGUUUAGGGGCCAUCCCUAAAAUAAUUAGAACAGCUCCUCUUCGCUCAGUCAACAAUAGAGGCUCGAUAUUUUCUCCAUUCGAUGAAAACUUGACGCCUCAAGCGGGGGCCUUGUUGCUUGAUGGCAACAUCGUGUCAUCUUCCCUGUGCGAGGCGUCAUCCCAUCAGUCAAGGGAUAUUUUGGACAACGAGGAUGUCGAAGUUGUCAGCCGUUCUAAACAAUCACCGGGGACCAGCACAGAACGUGUUAAAAUAUGGAGGAAAAAUCGUCUAGGAGAGAGGGAAGUACCGACACGUAAGCCGUUCACCCAUCAAGGUGAUUGCGCUAUGAUCAAAUAUCUGCUCACAACAGAUCAAUUCCCUUACGCAAAGGGAUUGGCUGUAUGGGGAGAUUUUUAUCAGAAGAAAAUACUGCCUUAUCAUACGCCUCAAUCUCUACAAAAUCGCUACACUAAAAAAAUUUUUCCCUUACUUAAAGGAAUGCUGAAACAAUUGAGUAGGAACGCCGUAAUCCUUGACACACUCUCUAAAUCGAAAUCUUCGAAAUCUACAUCGAAGUUUUGAAUCGGAUGCAGGCAGUUCCGAUAAUGGUUCGAGUUCCAAGGAGGACGAGGAUCGGAAAGGUUGAAAAGGAGCUUGAAGAUAGAAGAGUCCAAGAAGGAGGAUCCUUUCGAGUCGUCCGCUCGAAAGCUAACACGAAACUACAACUUUUAUGUAAAUACAUUUUUUUUCAGUUACUUCAAGUUUCCGAGAUAUAUUCAUUUGAGAAAAAACGGUAUUUUCUAAAAUUAUGAAUUUUAGAAAAAAUUCACAUCGAGUGCCUUUUAGUAGUACUUUGAUAUAAUCAGUUAUGAAGUAGAUCUGAGAUGGUCGAAAAAAAAGUGGCCGGUGUGACAGAGAAUCCCUCAUAUAUUGGAGCUUUUCAAUUAGAGCUGAGUGGAGCUGAGUUAGAUACAGAAUUCAACACUGUGUCACACAGUGUUGAACACAAAAUGGGGGCUUGUAUACGCUCUGUGUCCGACACAGCCGUAAUUGAAAAGCACCUCAUAUAUAUGUGUAUUAGGGUGGUCCUUAUUUGAGGUUGAAAUUUUUUUCUCAAAUUCCCCCCCUGGUUCGAUUCUAAAUCACUAAAAAAGAUACCACAACAAAGCUGUGGUCAGUGGGAUGAUGGGAAAGGGUGCCGGCAAGCCCGGUCGUUGUUUCUACUUCAGUCAAAUUUGUGUUUGCUUUAUCUUUGGCUCCUAUUCUUUUUCUAUGUAUAAAUCACGUCGAGCCAUCCAAGUGUACUCGAAACCCUUGUCAAUCGUCAUUAAGAACAACCAUUCAAGUAUUUAUUUAACAUAUAGUCGUUGACAAUUCGAACUACAAUAUUUUCCCGUAUACCCAGGAAUAAAUCAUCACAUGAUUUUUUAUUCUUUGCUCCUGAAUUUCGAUAAUAAACAACUUUUCUAUCGUUUUUCUAUUCGUCGAGAGAAUUAUAUAUUUAAAAAUUUCUAGAUCAUUACUUCCUCUGAUAUUUUCUUCAUGACCUAGAGGUAAACGGUUCUAUUUGCAUGCUAUUACUGAAUUUAUAUAUCUGUCGUUUUCGGGAUCCAUUACUCAAGAACAGCCUUUUUUGAGGGCCGAUGAAACGAAGUAGUCUUGUUUCGUGGGCUUAUGUCAGUUUGUCGGUGUUUUGAUGCGAAUUUUUACAUCUGAGGAUUUUUUUUAUAACGUGAUAGUCAGGCGCUAUGCUGAGAGACACGGAAUAAAAGAACUGUUUUGAGAAUUUGUUUGUCAAAAGAAAGUCGAACGCAACGCCGAAAGAAUUUUGAUGAAUAAUUCGCAAUAAGAUGCAAUUCCUGAACCAUCGGAUGAUUUAUAUCAGCAUUUUAUAUGAAAGUUAUUAAAGAAUAAUGAUUAUUUAAGAAGAUUAAUAUUUGAGGAUAGAAUUUGUAGUUAAGGUGGCUUGGGCUAUGCCGAAAAAACUUAAAAGAUAUCAGGAAAAAUAUCGUGUUAGCUGGACGCUGUUCCACGAGACAUGAUAUUCGGAACGGCGUCGGCUUUCCCAGGGAAGUGUGAUAGUUGGACUCUAUGCCGCCGAGACUAUAAUAGUAAAACACGCAGAGAUUACAAAAGGAAGAAAGAUUGGAAUAAAAUGAUAAAUAACCGGCCUCAGCAGAAAAACAUCACUUUUAUAUAAAAUGCUUUUUUUUCAAUCGAUUCGAACUUGCCGGUACCAUUUCCCAUCAUCCCACUAACUCCAGCUUUUUCGUGGUGUCUUUUUAGAAUCGAACCAGGGGGGGAAUUUGAAAAAAAAAAUUUCAAUCUUAAAUAAGGACCACCCUAAUGUGUAUAUGUGUGUAUAUUAUACUUGUUAUAUGAGUAUAAAUAAUCAUAGUGUAUGAGUAUAAUAAUCAUAUACGCGAGUAUAUGAAUGUAUUUUAAUAUAUAUAUAUAUAUUUGUAAGAAAAAUGUCAGGAUAAAAAUUGGACACGAAGAAAUAAUAUUAAUAAAUCUUUUAUCUUUUUUCAA